UGGGGGAUAUUGCACAAUGGGCGAAAGCCUGAUGCAGCGACGCCGCGUGGGGGAUGAAGGCCUUCGGGUUGUAAACUUCUUUUGCUCUGAACAAGGCGCACCAUGGGGUGUGUUGAGUGUAGGGGUUGAUUAGCGCCGGCUAACUACGUGCCAGCAGCCGCGGUAAUACGUAGGGCGCGAGCGUUGUCCGGAAUUAUUGGGCGUAAAGGGCUUGUAGGUGGCUGGUUGCGUCUGUCGUGAAAGCUCAUGGCUUAACUGUGGGUUUGCGGUGGGUACGGGCUGGCUUGAGUGCAGUAGGGGAGGCUGGAAUUCCUGGUGUAGCGGUGGAAUGCGCAGAUAUCAGGAGGAAUACCGGUGGAGAAGGCGGGUCUCUGGGCUGUUACUGACACUGAGGAGCGAAAGCAUGGGGAGCGAACAGG
RNAcentral lists this ribosomal RNA (419 nucleotides) under bacterium. Its description in RNAcentral is "partial 16S ribosomal RNA". It matches the Rfam family "Bacterial small subunit ribosomal RNA", at positions 355 to 776 of the family's 1533-position model. The record is from RNAcentral.